RNAcentral lists this non-coding RNA (184 nucleotides) under Heliomicrobium modesticaldum. RNAcentral describes it as "Heliobacterium modesticaldum Lysine sequence". It matches the Rfam family "Lysine riboswitch aptamer". Rfam says of the family: Riboswitches are metabolite binding domains within certain messenger RNAs that serve as precision sensors for their corresponding targets. Allosteric rearrangement of mRNA structure is mediated by ligand binding, and this results in modulation of gene expression. Lineage: Bacteria; Bacillati; Bacillota; Clostridia; Eubacteriales; Heliobacteriaceae. The record is from RNAcentral. RNAcentral also lists the same sequence under 1 other name.
UGGAGAGGUAGAGGCGCGGUCUGUCAAGAGUACCUGGAGGAGUCCGACGGUGGACGAUGAUACCGGAGGGAAAGGGGCAACCGCCGAAGCUUGGAGCAACCGUAUUGCUCACAGGCUGGGUCCGGGCAUAAGAUGUUCGGAACUGCCAUCUGGUGAUUCGACCGGAUGGAGCGCUAUCCAAUCG